Molecule: long non-coding RNA, 3332 nt
Filed under: Citrus sinensis (sweet orange)
Lineage: Eukaryota; Viridiplantae; Streptophyta; Magnoliopsida; Sapindales; Rutaceae
Description: long non-coding RNA (CSIN_LNC004834)
Source: RNAcentral
UUUAAUGAGAUGGAAAGUCUUGUUAAUGAGCCAUCCGAUGAGAAACAGUGCGGUGACAUACAUAAAUUCUUCCUCGCCUUUCAUUAUGGUAUUAGAGCCUAUGGCAGAAAAUCAAACCCAACCAAAAUUCAAUAUCAAAUCGUUUUACCAAUGCGCCAAUCUAAUUUCCAUCAAGCUUACAUCAAACAACUAUCUCCUUUGGAAGUCUCAAGUGUUAGGAAAUUUUAAUCUUAUCCAAGAUCUUGUGAGUAAAAUUAUCAAAUAAAUAAUAAACAGAAAAUAAAUGGAAAAUAAAAUCAAUCACACAAUACAAUAAUUUACAUGGAAAGCUCAUUACUGGAGAAAAAAAACCGCUGCUAAGGACAACAAGAGAAAAAUCUACUAUAUGAAAAGUUAUUACAACAAACAACUCUCUUCUUUGGAAGUCUCAGGUGUUAUGAAAUUUUAAUCCUACCUAAGAUCUUGUAAAGAAAAAAAAAACAAACAAAGAACAGAAAAUAAAUAAAGAAUAAAAUCAAUCACACAGUGAAAAAUCACCUAUAUCGGAGAAAAACUACGACCACCAAGAACGACAAGAGAAAAAUCUACUAUGUAAAAAAUUAUUAAAAUCACUCUAGUAGUUUCCUCACAUUCAAAACCCUAAUAACAUCCAAUCUCUCAAUACACCUACUGUUUCUCUCACAUUAUAAACUAUCGACUUGCAAAGAAUUAAUUGUUGUAUUAUACUCUAUAAACAAGUGAACCCAACCUCCCUAUAUAUAGUAAUUAUUUCUUGAAAGAAAAGUAUUAUUUUACUUAUACUAGUUGUACUUUUCCUUGUAUAAGUUAAGUGUCAAAGGAAAAAUUACAUAUUCCUUAAAUAGGAAUCCCACUAAAAAAUAAAAUAUUUUACGAAAUCCUUAUUGAAAAAUACAUAUUUCUUAACAUCAAGUUCUUUCCAUAUUUUAAAGCCUUGGACUAGAACAUCACCUUACCUAAAUUGAGACGCCUCCAAAAAUGAUCAUGCAAGAUGGAAAAGAAACAAUCAAUCCCUUAGUUUAACCCACCCCAAACUCCCAGGGCGAGUCUAUCCAGUCUCAUCAAAACUGAAUCGAUAAUAAUCUAAUUAGUAAGGAUUCUACCAAAAAUUCUGAAAAGUCUCCUUUAUGAAUAUAUCACUCUCAAAAUAAUUCAAUAUACAACUAACUCCAAUGAUCAACAUCCUCAACCAAAAUACUGAGUUUUAUCCAAAAUACCUUCAGAGUAUCAAAAGAUUAUAUUAUAACUAAUAUCAAUAUACAUUAGUUUAUUCUUAAACUCAAAAGAAUAAUACAACAAAAUUAUACAAUUCCAAAAAAAUGAGAUGAUUAGAAGGUUCUAACAAAAAUCAUCUAUAUAUUCUAAUACCAUCACAUGACCAAGAUUCAAAAUAUAUCUACAGUCACUGUUGGGUCGAUUAGAUGUACCUACAACCUCUUGUGUGAGGUGGAAUAUUAUAAAACGGGAGGAGUAUAAAACUCAGUGAGUGGAUAAUAGUUUUUGAAAAUAAACUUACUUCAAAAUAAUUAUAUCUUGUUAGUAAAUAUCUUUAUCAAAAUAACAUAAGAAGACUUAAAUAAACUUUUUUAAUUAUAAAUCAUACACUGACAUAAACAUAAUAUAUAAUGUCACAUAAAAUUAAGAAAGUUAUAAAUCCAUUACUCAAAAACUGAAUUCUAAAAUCUGUCACUAAACAAGUACCCAGGAGAAUAAUCUCGUCAUAUCUGGACCUCAACGGAUAAGCAAUGACGUACUAUCUAAGUACUGUCAUGCCUCAGAACUACAUGGAUAGACAGGGAAAUGAUAUCUCAUGUCUCAUCAUAUCUGUGCACACAUUAUAUAGUCCCCAAAGGACAAAACGCCCAAGCAGACGACUCAAAACCUCUGUGUGUACUCAGACAGGCCUCAAAGACCUGCGUCUCAGCUAUAUCAUUGUUAUCAUCAUAUCACAUGCAUAUACCCCCAAAAGGCAGAAGCGCCCAAACACACAGUUCAAAACUUCUGUGUUCAAAUGGACCUCAAAGGUCUCAUCAUAUUUGUAUCACUGUAACCAGGGAAGGAUAUUGUCUAAUGAUUUUAAAACAAUCUUUAUACUCGUAUUCAUAUACCAUUUAACCAUAAUUUAAAUCAUAAUUUUCCUUUCAUUGACACAUUUGAAUCCACUUGUCUUAUCUUUAAGAUACUAUCUGAUUUUAUAUUAAAUCAACACGGAAAACCAGCAACCAAACACUUGUUAAAUAACAAAUCAAUACGUAAAUAAAAUCCAUUUCAAGAAAAAUUUGAGUAUUUAAAAUACUUAUUUCAUAAACAUGUUUUACUAUCGUAAUAAACUAUGAAAAUAAGUUUUGUAUAUUCCACUCACAGUGACAACGCUCAAACUCGAUUAUCGUCCAUGCCUGCAAACCGAUUCUCGCUCGUGAAUCCUCCUAAAUUAAGGAAACAACAUAAUUAUUUUUCGUAAAUUGGAAUUAGGACUAAAUUUAUUCAAUAAACUCGAAAUGAAUAUCUAUCUAUAAUAUACAACUCUUGCAUCAAUAAAAUUACCAAAACACCCUCGCAUCCGUAAAUUAUUACAGUACUCCGAAAUCGUAAACCACUGAAUUAUCCUUAGGAUCGUAAUUACCAACCCAUCCUUAAUUUUGGGAAUUACUAAAAUAUCUACAGGGUCAUAAAUUACAAAAUCACCCUCAAAAUGUGAAGACACUGAAUUGCCCUUGUUGGUCAACGUUGACCGAAUUUUAGUUAACGGUGGCCGGGAAGCUCGGGUCUGAUAGUUCCAACCACGCUGAGUCUAAUAGUGCUGGCGGUGAGUUCCCACGCGCAGCAACAACGGCUGAUCGAACUUCCAAAGCCGCAAGCUUUCCGGCGGUCAUUCGCGGCCAAAACGGCUGUUUUAGGUGGGGUUGGUUGGAAAAUGAUGAGGGUGAGCUAAGGAUCAAGAUCCAGGUGGUGGCGUCACCCAAAAUCGGUGGAAUCGACAGCGAGAAGGGGUGGGUUUUACUGCGGCUUAUCGAGCUUGAUUGCCGGCAUUUUGACUGUUGCUCGGCAAGGGUGAUGGCUGGGAUACGACGGCCGGUCUUCAAGCUUCAGAUUGGUACCUUGCUCGGCCGGUGAUGUGGCCGGAAAUUGGAGGGCAAAGGCUCGCCCCAUUCCGAGUCCGGCGGACGAACUUGGGUUCGUGGGUUUGGGUCGGGUUCGUGGGUUUGGGUCGGUUUUGAUAGCUUACUCACUCUCACGUGUGAACAUGCUUCCCCCUUUUGAUAGCUUCUUCUUUUAUUUAUUUUAUUUUUUAACCGCCUCUCUUUUUUUUUUUU